UUUGCGUCGAAGGUAUACCGGUAAGGAGUGCUGGAGCGAAUAGAAGUGAGCAUGCAGGCAUGAGUAGCGAUAAUUAAUGUGAGAAUCAUUAACGCCGUAAACCCAAGGUUUCCUACGCGAUGCUCGUCAUCGUAGGGUUAGUCGGGUCCUAAGUCGAGUCCGAAAGGGGUAGACGAUGGCAAAUUGGUUAAUAUUCCAAUACCAACAUUAGUGUGCGAUGGAAGGACGCUUAGGGCUAAGGGGGCUAGCGGAUGGAAGUGCUAGUCUAAGGUCGUAGGAGGUUGUACAGGCAAAUCCGUAUAACAAUACUCCGAGAACUGAAAGGCUUUUUGAAGUCUUCGGAUGGAUAGAAGAACCCCUGAUGCCGUCGAGCCAAGAAAAGUUUCUAAGUUUAGCUAAUGUUGCCCGUACCGUAAACCGACACAGGUGGGUGGGAUGAGUAUUCUAAGGCGCGUGGAAGAACUCUCUUUAAGGAACUCUGCAAAAUAGCACCGUAUCU
RNAcentral lists this ribosomal RNA (499 nucleotides) under Campylobacter jejuni. RNAcentral describes it as "partial 23S ribosomal RNA". It matches the Rfam family "Bacterial large subunit ribosomal RNA", at positions 1244 to 1735 of the family's 2925-position model. Lineage: Bacteria; Pseudomonadati; Campylobacterota; Epsilonproteobacteria; Campylobacterales; Campylobacteraceae. The record is from RNAcentral.